Molecule: long non-coding RNA, 398 nt
Filed under: Numida meleagris (helmeted guineafowl)
Lineage: Eukaryota; Metazoa; Chordata; Aves; Galliformes; Numididae
Description: lncRNA (ENSNMEG00000002137.1)
Source: RNAcentral
AUGACUGCAGUGAACCAGCAGUCUGACCUGGAUGAAGCUGACCAAGGCUCAGCAAACAAGUCCAAAACACUAUCUCCAAGGAUGGAUGCUAAGCCUAGUGAGAAGCCUCAGGAAGACAAACCCAUGGAAGCAUCAACACCCAAGAAGGUCAGUACCUUGGAAAGGAGAACCAGAAUAAAAGGCUUGGUCAAGCAGAAGACUGGAGGCAGGUAUGGUGCAAGCACACAGUGGGAUCUGGUGUCCCAGGUGGUUUUAUCUCAUUUAUAGCUGUAAUGGAAUGGAACAUGGCUGUCUUACAGGGUCCCAGUUGUUUGGUAUCUCACAUCCUGGAGCACUGAGAUGGCUUUUUCUCCCUGCUGUGGUUUUGGUUGCCCAAAUGUUUGGCUUUGGUGUGUGUC